RNAcentral lists this ribosomal RNA (1358 nucleotides) under Echyridella menziesii. RNAcentral's name for it is "16S ribosomal RNA". The stretch from base 858 to 1242 matches the Rfam family "Archaeal large subunit ribosomal RNA", at positions 2147 to 2719 of the family's 2987-position model. Lineage: Eukaryota; Metazoa; Mollusca; Bivalvia; Unionida; Hyriidae. The record is from RNAcentral.
CAUUUCACCCACCCCACUACACUAAGCUCGCCUAACAAAAAGAUUUAACACCUUCAGUAAACCAAUUAAAGCAAGCCAACUCACACUCUCCCCCCGAAAGGACUAAAUAAAAAUCCCCCAAAAAAGCAUUAGACCCGCCUACCUUUCGCAUAAUGUAGUUGCAACACAUCAUACCAGAUAGUAUAUCCCGAAAGACAAAGAGCUAUUAUAAUAAAUAGCCCAAAUAUGUCAUUAUAUGGACUCAUGUUAUAAUAGAAGCAACACACCUUCCGAAUUGUCUGAUAGCUGGCUUUUCCCAAAAAGUAUCUUAGUACUCCUUUAUAGUCCAUACAAUAACCAUCAACAAGCUAUAAAAGAAAAUUAAACGAGGAUAAGCCCGUUUAAAACGAAAAUAACUAUACACCCAAACCCUAAACAAAUAAGCCUAAAAUUAGCUACAAAGCCGUCAUAGGCCCAAACAACCAGGAACUAAAUUAAAUCUAAAUAUUCUACCUAAGGGAAACCCUUACCACAACUUAACUAUAAGCAGAACCGGCAAACUAUUAGUAUUCCACACUCUUUAUUAAAACCAAAAAUUAAUACAACCCUAACACCUAAACCAUUACAACACAAAACAAAUUUAAUCAAUUCAGCAAAACGGAUCUCCGCCUGUUUACCAAAAACAUCGUCUCUUGUAAACAAACAUAAGAGAUAAUGCCUGCCCAAUGAUACACACAUUCAAUGGCCGCGUUAGCGUGAGCGUGCUAAGGUAGCGUAACAAACAGCCCUUUAAUUGGGGGCCAGUCAAAGGCAACACGGAAAUCAGCUGCAUCAACUUUGUAUAAAUAACUUUUCGUCUAAGUGAAUAGACUUAAAUAAAAUAAAAAGACAAAAAGACCCCGCGGAACUUCUCUUCCGCACUUUAUGGGUCACAACAGCCCAUAAAACUACAAGAUUGGUUGGGGCAACCCAGGAACCACACAAACUUCCUCAGCAUUAACUAGCUUAAUAUACAAAAUUCGUUACAGAUCAUAGUCAUAGUUACCCCGGGGAUAACAGCGUCAUCCAAUUAAAGAGUACACAUUGAAAACUGGGUUUGCGACCUCGAUGUUGGCUUAGGGAAACUGGGUUUGCGACCUCGAUGUUGGCUUAGGGAAACAAUUUGGUGCAGCCGCCAUCUUACGUUAGUCUGUUCGACUAAUAAACCCCUACAUGAGCUGAGUUAAGACCGGCGAGAGCUAGGUUGGAUUCUAUCUUUUAUUUAACAAAACCCUUCUUUAUUGUACGAAAGGACUUAAAGAACACCAACACUAAGGUGCCGCCUUUAAAACACUAACAACACUGUUCACCUCACAUACAACCAUCAAACUUACAAUUAC